This 32129-nucleotide long non-coding RNA is filed under the name Nicotiana benthamiana. RNAcentral describes it as "long non-coding RNA (NBEN_LNC005192)". Lineage: Eukaryota; Viridiplantae; Streptophyta; Magnoliopsida; Solanales; Solanaceae. The record is from RNAcentral.
GAUUCAAUUGAUUUAAGGUCAGCCUUACCACAAGUUGUGUGCUGGAUCCUCAAUCAGAACACCACAGCUAGCACUGAAAGCUACUCUAGGUCGACCACACAUUUCCAGUAACAUCUAUAGAACUACUAAUUAACUCCCAGAACUUAUGGCUCAAGCAAAUCAUCACAAACAUCAGAGCAUAUUGCAAAGAGAAUCAUCAAAAGAGACUGAACACAUCAUUCAACUGAACGCGGUGAAAUCUUAACUCAGAAUAUACUUCGAGCCCGACUAACAGUCACAAUCAUACAGGGAAUGGAAGACACCUGCUCAAAUCGGCUUUUGAUUAAUUAUAUAGACUCAAACACAUGCCACUACUGAUAAGAGAUUCAUUCAACAAGAGAUUCAAUCCCAGCACAAACAGAGCACUUGAGACAGAACCACAAAGUUCAAUACUUUGAAACGAAACAGAACCGCAAGAGCAGAGAGAUGAAGAAUGUACCUGAAAUUUAAAACUUCUGUUGAUAACAGAAUCGAAGGUGAUUACACAGUUUCGACUCCAAAAUUCCCACAAGAACUCAACGGCAAAUCAAAACUCGAAUAACAGCAAACCAGUAGCAGUCUAGUAGAAAUAAGAGGUUCGAACAGCGACCAACUCGAACUUCUUUUGAUGCUAGAAUCGAAGGUGAUUACACAGUUUCGACUCCAAAAUUCCCACAAGAACUCAAUGGCAAAUCAAAACUCGAAGUACAGCAAACCAGCAAAUGAGAGGAGAGGGAAUCUUUGGUGUCGGAAACCGUUAUCUGCGAUAAGAGGAGAGAUAGAGGAACGCGUGGGUUAGGGAUUGAUAUCUACUCGCGUGAAUUUUGAGCUGAAAUGGGGGCUUGGUUCGUGGUACACAGUAUCGCGUUUGAGAGAUUUAGGGGUUUUCGUGAUUUUUUGGGUCUCUGAAGACUGCUGUGUAUUUUGGGUAUGUGGGGCUGAACCGGGUUUGGGCUGGUAAGGGGGUAAGCCACGUUUGGGCCUGAGAUUAAAUAAGGACACUAGCCCAAAAUUAGUUUCUUAAAGGAGAAGACCAAUUAUAUCUUAUUUCAUUCUUUCUUUUCUUUUCUUUUCAACUUUCUUUUUAAUUCCUUUUUUCUUUUUAUUUUAAAAAUAAAACACGUCUAAGUUAAUUCCUAAAACUCAAAUAACCCUAAAAACUAAUUAAACACAUAUGAAAAGGGGGGUUUGCUAAAAACGGGGGGAGGGUAAAUAAAAUAUAAAAAAAACUAAUAAAAACUUACCUAGGCGGCGGGCACCGCGGUCGCGGGAGGACUGCGGGAGAAAAAUUUUAGAGGGGGUGUUUUGAUGCGGUUGGCUCGCAUCCGGGGUUGGACCGCGAAAAAUGUUUUUCUGAGGGGGGUCUUGCCCGCAGUUGGACCGCAAUCGCGGGAGGCCUGCGGUCAGACCCCUUCUCUGAAUCUGGCGCCCCUUUUUUUUAGAUUCUUACAUGAUUACACUUACUACACAAUCGUGGGUUUCCUCCCACGCAACGCCUGAUUUAACUUCGCGGCACGACUCAGGUAAGUGAAUUUUACGGCUCGCUCAACUGCUGUGGUUCGCUCAAGUGUAGUGCUGAUCCAUCCUUAGGUCCACUCAUUCCCACGUAUAGCUUCAAACGCUGACCAUUGACUCUAAAUGUGUGAAAGUCGUUCUCAGUAGCAACAUCAACAGCUCCAGACGGAAAGACUUCAACAACCUGAAAUGGACAAGACCAUCGUGACUUUAGCUUACCUGGGAACAAUCUCAGUCUUAAGUUGCAGAGUAGUACCAUGUCCCCAGCUUUGAAGGUUCACUAUAUAAUGUGCUGAUUAUGCAGCCUCUUCAUUCUUUCUUUAUAUAGUCUUGUGCUCUCAAAAGCAAGAUGUCAGAACUCCUCCAACUCAUGCAAUUAUGUGACUCUAGAUGAUCCUGCAACUUCCAUGUCAAGAUUCCGUUGUUUCAGUGCCCACCACGCUCUAUGCUCAAAUUCUACCGGCAGAUGACAGGCCUUCCCAAACACCAACUUGUAUGGAGACAUACCGGUUGGUCUCUUGAAUGUUGUUCUAUACGCCCAAAGUGCAUCAUCUAACUUUCUCGCCCAAUCUGUUCUUGUGGCAUUUACAGUUUUUGUCAACACACUCUUUAUCUCUCUGUUGGAGACCUCCACCUGUCCACUGAUUUACGGGUGGUACUGAGUAGCCACCUUGUGGCGCCAUCGUAUUUUGCCAACAACUUCUCAAAUGCUCUGUUGCAGAAAUGAGUGCCCCGUCACUUAUUAUCGCCCCUGGUGUCCAAAAGCGGGUGAAUAUAUUUUUCUUCAGAAACCCACCACCGCUUUUGCAUCAUUGGUGGGUAAUGCUACAGCUUCCACCCACUUGGACACAUAAUCAACAGCAACAAGAAUGUACAUGCUGCCGUAAGAGCUGAUGAAGGAACCCAUGAAAUCUAUCCCCUAAACAUCGAACACUUCAACCUCCUCAAUCGUGUUCAUAGGCAUCUCGUGGCGCCGGGAGAUGUUCUCGGUGCGUUGGCAUUCAAGGACCCACGAAAUCUAUCCCCUACACAUCGAACACUUCAACCUCCUAAAUUGGGUUCAUGGGCAUCUCGUGGCGCCAGGAUAUGUCCCGGUGCGUUGGAAUUCAUUACAACCCUUUACCCAUGUGUGAGCAUCUUAGAACACUGUUGGCCAGAAAAACCCGACAUCAAGCUCCUUUGUUGCAGUCCUCACUCCUCAAAAGUGUCCCCAAUAAGUCGUUGCAUGACAUGCCUGCAAAAAUAGAACAUUGUUCCAUCUCAGAGACGCAUCUCCGGAUUAUAUUAUCCAGGCAUAUUAUAGAAAGAUAGGGCUCAUCCCAAUAAUACAUACGGCUUUCACGAAAGAAAUGCUUCCUCUGGACCGAAGACAGGUCGUGAGGGACUAUACCACAAGCUAGGUAGUUGGGCAAAUCUGCAUACCAUGGAGCUUCUAGACAGUUAGCUACGAGCAGUUGCUCGUCUGGAAAGGUUUCCAGAAUAUCCUCAAGCUCAAUUGUGUUUUCAGCUCCGUCAAGUCGUGAUAGAUAAUCAACGACUUGGUUCUCAGUGCUCUUUUGGUCACGUAUCUCAAGAUCAAACUCUUGUAGCGACAACACCCAAUGAAUCAGGCGUGGCUUAGAGUCUUUCUUCUUUAUCAAGUAUCUAAAAGCUGCAUGUUCAGUGUAUACAAUUACCUUCGAUCCUAUCAGGUAGGAUCGAAACUUGUCGAAUGCAAACACCACAGCUAACAUCUUCUUCUUAGUCACUGUGUAAUUCAGUUGGGCCUCACUCAGCAUUCUACUUGCAUUGUAGAUUGGAUGCAUCAAUUUGUCCUUCCGCUGGCCCAGCACCGCCCCCACUGUAUAGUCACUAGCAUCACACAUUAGCUCGAAGGUUGCUCCUAGUUGGGGGAAACAAUGAUUGGUGUUGUGACCAGCUUUUGCUUCAGCUCUUCAAAUGCUACCCUGCAUGCAUCAGAAAAUAGAAACGGGUUAUCUUUUUCUAGCAACUUACAGAGAGGGUUGGCGAUUUUGGAGAAGUCUUUAAUGAACCGUUGGUAGAAACCGGCAUAUCCAAGAAAGCUUCUGAUUUUAUUGACCGUGGUUGGUGGAGGCAAUUUUCCUGUGACAUCAACUUUGGCUCGAUCGACUUCUAUCCCCUUGCUUGACACUCGGCGCCCCAAGACUAUGCCUUCUUGCACCAUGAAAUGGCACUUUUCCCAGUUCGAUACCACAUUAGUCUCAAUGCACCAUUUCAACACACGUGUCAGAUUCUCAAGGCACUUAUGGUCACGUAUCUCAAGAUCAAACUCUUGUAGCGACAACACCAAAUGAAUCAGGCGUGGCUUAGAGUCUUUCUUCUCUAUCAAGUAUCUAAGAGCUGCAUGUUCAGUGUAUACAAUUACCUUCGAUCCUAUCAGGUAGGAUCGAAACUUGUCGAAUGCAAACACCACAGCUAACAUCUUCUUCUUGGUCACUGUGUAAUUCAGUUGGGCCUCACUCAGCAUUCUACUUGCAUUGUAGAUUGGAUGCAUCAAUUUGUCCUUCCGCUGGCCCAGCACCGCCCCCACUGUAUAGUCACUAGCAUCACACAUUAGCUCGAAGGUUGCUCCUAGUUGGGGGAAACAAUGAUUGGUGUUGUGACCAGCUUUUGCUUCAGCUCUUCAAAUGCUACCCUGCAUGCAUCAGAAAAUAGAAACGGGUUAUCUUUUUCUAGCAACUUACAGAGAGGGUUGGCGAUUUUGGAGAAGUCUUUAAUGAACCGUUGGUAGAAACCGGCAUAUCCAAGAAAGCUUCUGAUUUUAUUGACCGUGGUUGGUGGAGGCAAUUUUCCUGUGACAUCAACUUUGGCUCGAUCGACUUCUAUCCCCUUGCUUGACACUCGGCGCCCCAAGACUAUGCCUUCUUGCACCAUGAAAUGGCACUUUUCCCAGUUCGAUACCACAUUAGUCUCAAUGCACCAUUUCAACACACGUGUCAGAUUCUCAAGGCACUUAUCAAACGAAUUCCCCACCGCGGAGAAAUCAUCCAUGAACACCUCCAUUAUGUCUUCAACCAUAUCAGUGAAAAUGGCCAUCAUGCACCGUUGGAAUAUGGCGCGUGCAUUGCAAAUGCCAAAUGGAAUCCUCCUGAAAGCAUAAAUGCCAUAAGGCCAUGUGAAGGAGGUCUUUUCGCUGUCCUCAGGUGCAAUGGAUAUCUGGUUGUAUCCUGAGUACCCGUCAAGAAAGCAAAAGUGUGACCUCCCUGCCAAUCUGUCCAGCAUCUGAUCAAUGAAGGGAAGUGGGAAGUGGUCUUUCCGGGUGGCAAGAUUCAACUUUCUAGUCCAUGCGUAUCCUCCAACCGGUGACGGUUCUUGUUGAGAUCAAUUCAUUUUUAUCAUUCUUCACAACCGUCAUGCCACCCUUCUUAGGCACAUAUUUAUCUGGGCUAACCCAGCUGCUGUCAGAAAUUGGGAAGAUGAUUCACGCUUCCUACCACUUUAUUACUUCCUUCUUCACCACUUCCUUCAUAUUCAGGUUUAGCCUUCUCUGAUGUUCCUUGGAAGGUCUAUGUCCCUCUGUCACGUAUCUCAAGAUCAAACUCUUGUAGCGACAACACCCAAUGAAUCAGGCGUGGCUUAGAGUCUUUCUUCUCUAUCAAGUAUAUAAGAGCUGCGUUCAGUGUAUACAAUUACCUUCGACCCUAUCAGGUAGGAUCGAAACUUGUCGAAUGCAAACACCACAGCUAACAUCUUCUUCUUGGUCACUGUGUAAUUCAGUUGGGCCUCACUCAGCAUUCUACUUGCAUUGUAGAUUGGAUGCAUCAAUUUGUCCUUCCGCUGGCCCAGCACCGCCCCCACUGUAUAGUCACUAGCAUCACACAUUAGCUCGAAGGUUGCUCCUAGUUGGGGGAAACAAUGAUUGGUGUUGUGACCAGCUUUUGCUUCAGCUCUUCAAAUGCUACCCUGCAUGCAUCAGAAAAUAGAAACGGGUUAUCUUUUUCUAGCAACUUACAGAGAGGGUUGGCGAUUUUGGAGAAGUCUUUAAUGAACCGUUGGUAGAAACCGGCAUAUCCAAGAAAGCUUCUGAUUUUAUUGACCGUGGUUGGUGGAGGCAAUUUUCCUGUGACAUCAACUUUGGCUCGAUCGACUUCUAUCCCCUUGCUUGACACUCGGCGCCCCAAUGGUAGAAACCGGCAUGUCCAAGAAAGCUUCUAAUUGCUUUGACCGAGGUUGGCAGAGGCAGCUUUGCGAUGACAUCAACUUUGGCUCUAUCUACCUCUAUUCCCUUGCUUGACACUCGGUGCCCUAAGACUAUGCCUUCUUGCACCAUGAAAUGGCACUUCUCCCAGUUCAGCACCAAAUUAGUCUCGAUGCACCUUUUCAACACACGUGUUAUAUUCGCAAGUCACUCUUCAAACAAAUUCCCCACCACUGAGAAAUCAUCCAUGAACACCUCCAUUAUGUCCUCAACAUAUCAGUGAAAAUGGCCAUAAUGCACCGCUGGAAUGUGGCGAGUGUAUUGCAAAGGCCAAAUGGCAUCCUCCUAAAGGCAUAAAUUCUAUAGGGGAAAGUGAAUGAAGUUUUCUCUCGGUCCUCAUGGGUAAUAGAGAUUUGGUUGUACCCUGAGUACCUAUCGAGGAAGCAAAAGUGCGACCUCCCAGCCAAUCUAUCUAGCAUCUGGUCAAUAAAGGGAGGUCUUUCGGGGUGGCAAAAUUCAGCUCACUAUAAUCCAUACAUAUUCUCCAGCCAGUGAUGAUUCUCGUUAAUAUUAGCUCAUUUUCGUCAUUUUUCACAACCGUCAAGCCACGCUUCUUAGGCACACACUGAACUGGGCUAACCCAGCUACUGUCAGAGAUAGGGAAGAUGAUCCCCAUAUCUAACCACUUAAUUAUCUCCAUCUUCACCACUUCCUUCAUAUUUGGGUUCAGCCUCCUUUGAUGUUCUCUAGAAGGUCUGUGUCCCUCUUCCAGCAGAAUCUUGUGCAUGCAAUAGGUGGGGCUGAUCCCUUUGAUAUCUGUCAUGCUCCAUCCAAUGGCAGUUUUGUAGUCUUUCAGUACUUGUAAAAGCUCUUUCACCUGCACAUUUAGCAAACCAGAUGAGAUAAUAACAGGUAAAGUGGAGUUUGGAACCAUAAAUUCAUACAUGAGGUGAGCUGGCAAUGACUUUAGCUCCAGCUUCGGUGGUUCUUCAAUGGACGGUUUAGCCGGAGGACUCUCUCUAUUUUCCAGGUGUAUGGGGUUCAAAUUCUAGCUUUCUAUCCCAAAACCCCUUACCUUCCAAUUCCAACACCCAUUCUGCCAACUCAUCACCAUUAGCCUCCUCCAAAUUUGACAGACAUGCGGCCAAGGGAUCCUCCACCGUAAAUACCUCAUCAUCAGACUGAACAAUUACGUCCACAGCAUCAAUGAGAGAGCAGUUAGCAAACUCACUUGGACGUCUCAUCGAUUUUUGCACAUUAAAAGUAAUCUCUUCAUCAUUGAGCCUCAUCUUAAGGUCCCCAGUCUCGCAAUCAAUCAAUGCUCUCCCAGGGGGCAAGAAUGGUCUUCCUAAAAUGAUAGGAAUUUCUUCAUCCACCUUGAAAUCCAAGAUCUGCAAGGAACACAAAUUUUUCCACCUGAAUAAGAACAUCAUCUAGGAUCCGAAGCGGAUGCUUUACAGUCCUGUCAGCUAGCUGCAGUAGCAUAGAGGUGGGUCUAGCUCUCCCAAUGCCCAACCUCUUGUAAACAACCAGUGGCAUGAGGUUAAUGCUGGCCCCCAAAUCACAAAGUGCCUUUGUAAAGGCAAAAUUUACCAAUAAUACAAGGAAUAGUGAAACUCCCUGGGUUACAGAGCUUUUCAGCAACGGGGCUAGUUACCACUGCACUACAAGUCUGUGUAAGUGUUACUGUGGCCAAUUCUUGGAAGUCAAAUUUCCUAGACAUCAAGUCUUUCAUCAUCUUUGCGUAUCCAGGCAUCUCCUUUAAAGCUUCGAUCAAUGGAAUAUUUACCUAAAUUUGCUUGAGCAUGCCAAAGAACUUCUUGUAUUGCUCAUCUUUUUUGUGCUUGGCCAAUCUCUAUGGGAAUGGUGCAGGAGGUCUUUUCUUCCCAAUAACUUGGGACUUUUCCUUCUCAACUAUCAUCUCUUCCACUGGUUCUCCCACUAUUUCAGUGACUUUGUCGCUCUCGUGCUGCAUAUUCUGAUUUUCAGGAACAGGUUGGACUUCACAUCUGUCAGCCUUGUUGAUUUAUCCAGCUCAAUGGGUACCUGAAUGAGUGUCUUUGUCUGCAUAUUCUCACGAGUUCUUUCCUGCUCAACAUCAAGAUCUCUACCAUUGCGGAGACUCACCGCCAUCAGCUGCUUCGGUACCUGAUCUUUGAGGUUGGUCUGAGUAUAUGCAGGCAAUGUCCCUUGAGGACAUUUAUUCAAUGACAUAACAAUCUGGCCCACCUGCAUUUCAAUAUUUUUAAUAGUUGUAUCAUGUGCAUCUACCCUCUCAUUUAUCUUUGCAUUUGACCCAAUCACUUGCUGCAUCAUCGCUUCUAGCCUGGAGAACCCAUCUUCUUGUCUCCCACCCUGCUAUUGCUGAGGGGGAUGGUACCCUUGUUGCUGAUUAUUUAUACCCUUGUGGCCUAGGAUAAGGUGCCAUGUUGUUGGGGGGUCUCAUACCUCCCAUAUUCCCUGCAUUGUAAUGUGGCUGCAGUGGCUUGUACUGCUGCUGAGUUUGCUGGCCCAAUUCUGAUUACCUUACCUCUGACCCUCGUAGUUAGCCACAUAAUUCAUAUCUUCAGGUUGCUGAUGAUGAAGGUUAUGCUCCACAUUCCAUGGAUUACCAAUUGGCUGACUGAUGCAAGAUGUGCACAAGCCCCCAUUGGUAGUAUGAACUAUAUGUACAUGCUGCUUUUUUCCCGACUCCUCCACCUUCUUGGUGAGGAUGCUCAUCUGUGUUAAAAGAGUCGCCACUUUCUCAUCCAUAGUGUUGGACGGAUCAAGAGGUACUGAAUGCACCACCGGAGUGAUAGGUGCGUUUCUGGUUAACCAACCUGAAUUCUGAGCCAUUUUAUCCAGCAGGUUCUGUCCUUGUCUCUAUGUCUUGCUCAAAAAUGUCCCACCAGCUGAGGCAUCCACAAUAUUUUUCAUGCUGUCAGAGAGUCCCAUGUAAAAUCGUUGUCCCAACAUCUGCUUUGAAAUACCAUGAUAAGAACACAUUACCAACAUUCCUUUGAACCUUACCCAUGUCUCGUGCAAAGUUUCCAUAGGUUUCUGUUUGAAGCUCAGAAUCCCAUCAAUCUGUUGUGCUGUUUUGUUGGGCAGAUGGAACUUGUUGUGAAACUGUUUGACUAACUCAUCCCAAGUUUCAAUGGAGUUGAUGGGGAGUGGGUUUAGCCAAAUCUGAGCAGCUAGUGUCACAGAGAAAGGAAAUAAUAGCAGCUUGAUUGCUUCCGGAGUCACAUUGGGCUGCCUCUGAGUUUUGCAUGUGGACAGGAAAUUCUUUAAGUGCUGCAGAGGGUAGCAGCUCAUGUCACAGAGAAAGGAAAUAAUAGCAGCAUGAUUGCUUCCAGAGUCACAUUGGGCUGCCUCUGAGUUUUGCAUAUAGACAGGAAAUUAUUUAAGUGCUGUUGAGGGUCUUCUACCUUCGUUCCAAAAAACAAUCCCUUGUUUUGCAAUAAGUGCAGCAUAUUGUUUGUAAUCUGGAAAGAUUCAGCCUGUAUAGCUGGCACAACAAUGGCUGUUUCCAGAUUAUCAGAUGUCGGUUGUGCCUAGUCAUAAAGGAUUUAGCUACUCAUAACUAUGGGUAAUUAAAAUAAACUAAGAUUAAACAUAAUCUAACAAUAAAAAUCAAAAGGGAAGAAGAAAUAUGAUUGAGAGAAUCUCUCAAAGUGAUUUUCCCUUCCAAGAACUCUAAGAAAUCAAUACAUGCCUCUCUUGGGCAAAACCUAGGGAUUAAUAUAGGUUUUUUGGCUUAAUUCCACGUUUUUCCACAUUUACCCCUUGUCAUGAGUUCGCCUUCCGCGGUCGAGGCGCGGUCGCAGUCGAACCGUGCUCGUGAAGCCUCUCUGAAUCUCGAUUUAUCUACAAUCCUGUUUGCCCGCGCUCCAUCCGCGGUCGCGGCUCGACCGCGGCCAAAGCCCUUCUCUGAACUUCAAUUUGACUGAGGCCUUAUUCCACCGCGUUCCAUCCGCGGUCGCGGUUGGACCGCGGCCAACGGCCUUCUCUGAAUCUUUGGCCUAGUUCGACGGGAAUUUCUUGGGAGUUUGCACAGUUGGCCUUUUUCCUCAUUUUCUCGACUCCAAAGAUAAUCCCUAGUAGUAUAUAGCCUGAAAACACGAAAAGCACCUAUAAGAACAUUUUUGCUGACACUUUUAAUAUCAAACAAUACACGAAAGUGAUUAUUUAGGGCUUGAAUAUAGUCAAAUUCACCUAUUAUCAUUGCGUUCACAUACUUCUGUGUCAAUAGUUACAAUGUGACAAAAUGAAUCUUUUUUUUCAUCCAUUAGAAUUGAGUCCCUUCCACAAAUUGUAUUUAAAAUACGAAUAAACAUUCUACCUUCAAAAGUUAAUUUACCAUUUUGUCCUUGUUACAAAUAAUAAGCAUUCAAUUAAAUAAUUCAUAUUUUGUUUAUUUAAUUUUACACUCUAUUUAAUUGUAUUGCGUGGGAUCAUUUCGAGUGAAUUGAAAAUUAAAUUUGCUAUUUAAUUAGGGUCCUAUUAAAUGGUUUAUUAUGACUACUAUGAACGUGGGACUUAAGAAAUUUAUCACCAACCAAAGCGUUUUCACCACCAUUAACUUAAGCGACAAAAGUGAUGUUCAGAAAACUUUUGGAUUUCUCUGUCAUCCUUUCUCCAUCUGCACAAAUUGCCAUCCGUUACCAUAAUAAAUUGCUAAUCAUUUAUCGUAUCUGUUGAAGAAUAUUAUCAGCCUACUGAUGAGCUUGCAUAAAUAGAGUGAUAAAUCAGUAAUGCAAAUACCAUCAUCAUUAGAAGAAACAAUAGAGGAAAUUAAGCUGCAGAUUUAUCAGGCAAGAUAAUUUUUUUUUGUUACUUCAUAUGAAUACUCAUGAAACUGUAUAUUCUUGUUUGUGCAAAUUCUUGUAAGUAAGCAACACUCUCCACUGUUAUUAUUUAUCUUGCACUGCGAUAAAUAAUUAAGACGAUAUUUCUUUUGAUUUUUCCACCCGGUGUCCGGUACCCGCGUUGGAGUCCGACUAUAUUCGGAUUCGCGUCAAGUAGGGCCACAUUCGGGGGUAGCGCUCUCUACCAAGAGUUUUUUCAUACCGAGGCUCGAACUCGAGACCUCUAGUUAAGGGAGGAGCAGCCUCAUCCGCUGCACUUGGUGGUGUCGUUCAAGAUGAUAACAUUAUUAAUAUUCUCUCCCAAAGACUACUUUCUUUUCUUCUUCUUUUCUGAAAUAUUUGUUGCCUAUGGAUGUCAAUAUUGGAACCAGAAGGAGUAACAAGUAGAAGAAUUCAGAAAUGCGGCCAGCAAAUAUACUAUUUUUUCUCCAUUUACAAAGAUGUUAAGCCUAUAGACUACAGUUAAGAAAAGUCCCUAAUUAGAUAUCACAUUUAAAAUUAUAAAUAGAUAUACUGCAAGUACUUUUUAACAAGAUCUUUCACAUAUUUAUCUGUUUAUAUCAAGUCCUUUUCCUGUGAAGGAUGCAUACCAAAUGAUUUCGGACAAGAGGGGUUGCUCUGGUGAUAAGAAACUCCCACUUCUAACGGAGAAGUUGUGAGUUCGAGUCUCCCCAAGAGCAAGGUGAAAAGUUCUUGGAGGGAAGGAUUAGGGGUGUGCAAUCGAUUUAUCGAUUCGAUUUUGACCCUUAUCGAUAAUUACUUAUCGAUUAUCGAUUUGUACAUAUGCUUAUCGUUAUCGUUUCAANNNNNNNNNNNNNNNNNNNNNNNNNNNNNNNNNNNNNNNNNNNNNNNNNNNNNNNNNNNNNNNNNNNNNNNNNNNNNNNNNNNNNNNNNNNNNNNNNNNNNNNNNNNNNNNNNNNNNNNNNNNNNNNNNNNNNNNNNNNNNNNNNNNNNNNNNNNNNNNNNNNNNNNNNNNNNNNNNNNNNNNNNNNNNNNNNNNNNNNNNNNNNNNNNNNNNNNNNNNNNNNNNNNNNNNNNNNNNNNNNNNNNNNNNNNNNNNNNNNNNNNNNNNNNNNNNNNNNNNNNNNNNNNNNNNNNNNNNNNNNNNNNNNNNNNNNNNNNNNNNNNNNNNNNNNNNNNNNNNNNNNNNNNNNNNNNNNNNNNNNNNNNNNNNNNNNNNNNNNNNNNNNNNNNNNNNNNNNNNNNNNNNNNNNNNNNNNNNNNNNNNNNNNNNNNNNNNNNNNNNNNNNNNNNNNNNNNNNNNNNNNNNNNNNNNNNNNNNNNNNNNNNNNNNNNNNNNNNNNNNNNNNNNNNNNNNNNNNNNNNNNNNNNNNNNNNNNNNNNNNNNNNNNNNNNNNNNNNNNNNNNNNNNNNNNNNNNNNNNNNNNNNNNNNNNNNNNNNNNNNNNNNNNNNNNNNNNNNNNNNNNNNNNNNNNNNNNNNNNNNNNNNNNNNNNNNNNNNNNNNNNNNNNNNNNNNNNNNNNNNNNNNNNNNCAAGUACCUUUCCAGGUUCGGGAGUGAAUUUUAGUGUAACUGCUGCCCAAUCGGAUAACUCUUCCUCCUUGCCAGCAUUAGUAGAUCCAUUGGCUUUAUCUCACUGUCAAGAGGACAAUAAAAUAAAACUAUUACUAUUAAUCCAUAUUAAUGCUCUUGGUAUAAAAUAACAGAAGAGGAAAAUAAAUCAGUUAGAGCAAAAUCUCUUUGAAAAGAACAAAACUAGUAAUCAGUUACAUAACAAUACAUCACAUUCUUUUACAAAGUAUAUUAUUUAAAAUAGAGAACUUACAUAGCAACUAACACCUCUCUCUGUUUCUCUAGAAUUCAAUGUUCAUAUUUGCCUGCAAAGCAUUUUCUGAUCUUACCACAUCAGCUUGCACCGAGUGGUCAAUUACAAGUUCAACUGGAACCUGCAAAAUUAUCACUGUCUCAAUAGUCCCCGCGGAAUCUACAAAACAGAACAGAAGCCUUUGAAAACAUAAGCAAGAGGAACAAUCAACACCUGCCCCUUUACAACAAAGAAAUAAUAUUGAUGGAAGACACUUUACUUUUUGGAACUUCAAAAAGCACUCCAUUCAUGGUUUCUUAAUAUAAAACUAUCUUAAUACCUCGUUAAACCAUGAAAGUUGAAGUAGAAAUCACUAAGUAACAUAAAAUAGCAUGUAAAGAAUAUAGAACAAAACUCAAUUCAACAAUCAACAAUAACCAAAUAUUAAUGAAUUGAUAGUCCCCGCAGAAUCUACAAAACAGAACAGAAGCCUUUGAAAACAUAAGCAAGAGGAACAAUCACCAUCAGCCCCUUUACAACAAAGAAACAAAAAUUGAUGGAAGAGACUUUUUUUUUUUUUUGGAACUUCAAUUAAUAUGAAGACAUCUUUACAUGUAACAUCUUGUACAAGAAAGACCAUUAAAACUCAAUUGAAACAUCGAAUAAAUAGAGAAAAAAUUCAGGCUAAUAUGCACAUACGGGCAUAUCAAUCAGCUAUGUUUCAAUCCUUUGUUCCAAUUCAAAGAAUGCAUCCCUCAUAAGUACAGACUAUAUAUCUACCCGAAUAUGAGAGUUCAAAUCACUAUUACCUCUAUUUGAAUCAAAGUUUCUCAACACAAAUUCAAGACAUAAAAUAAACAAUAUAUUGGACAAACGGAUUGUAGUCAAAACACGAGAUCUGCAAAAUAAGUGACAGGAUGGACGCAGAAAUUAAAAAAAAAAUCUUCCACUAAAUUACCUCGCCGUACUCCUCCUUUUCACUCUUUGGUGCCUUCAAAGGCUUUGCCUUUCCACCUGUUCCACAAAAAGAAAAAUCAGUGAGAAAAUCAAUUCAGUUCUUAACCUUUCUUCGACAAAAUCAAUUAACCAACCACACCUCAACCCAAAUUAACUGGGUCAGAUAUAUGUCAAAAAUAAUCAAAAAUCAAAUCUUUGAAAACCAGUAAUUAUAGAAAAGGCGAUUAAAAGUUAAAAAAGAGAAGAAAAAGGAGAUUAAGGAGUGUACCUUGCUUAGAAGACAUGGUUGAUUUUCUAGGGUUAAGAGUUUGGAUCUGAUUAUCGGUUAAUUAGAGAAUGGAAAUACCUUCUCCUAACCCACACAGCUCUGUUGUAAAGUGGCGUUGGAAUUUUCUGGACAGUCGCAUAAAUUUAUAGCAUUGGUGUACAAUCAUGGAACAACAACGACAAUGACGAUUGGAGAGUGGCGAUAGAACAGAGCGGCGGCCGGCGGCCCGGCGCUGAAGAGAAUGGUGACUGAAGUUCAGUCACUGAACUGAAGAGUGAAGAGAAGCGGCGGUCGAUUGAAAAAUAAAAAUAGGGUUAACUUAAGUAUAUUAUAUGAUAUCAGUAUUAUAUGGUAUAAGGGAAUAGGGAUAGGGUAGUAAUAGUAUUAUAAAAUAAGGGUAUAUUUGUCUUUUUAAUAUAUCUUAUCGAUUUAUCGAUAAACCGAUAAACCGAAUGGCCAAAAUCGAAAUCGAAUCGAUAAACUGAUAAGGAAAAUUUUCGAAAUCGAAAUCGAAUCGAUAAACCGAUAUCGAUAAACCGAUAACAAAAUAAUCGAUUCAGUUUAUCGCUAAACCGAUUCGAAUGCACACCCCUAGGAAGGAUGUCAGUGGUCUAUUUGGAAACAGCCUCUCUACCCCAGAGUAGGGUACGGUCUGCGUACACACUACCCUCCCCAGAAUCCACUAAAUGGGAUUAUACUGGGUUGUUGUUGUUGAUGCAUACCAAAUGAUUCAUUUCAAAUCGCAACACUUUAUUAUUUGGUACUGUUGUCAAAUUCAUUCUUUCUGUCAAGGCUUAAUUUGGUGUUAUAACUUUUUAAAGGUUAAUUCGAUUAUUGCAUCACAAAAUUGUUAAUAAUUAUACAAUUUAUCAUUACUUUUAUUAAGUUAUUAUGAUAUUCGUACAUAUUGUUAGCUGAAGCUUUUCCUAUCAAACUAUAAUAAUUACUAUAGUGUGCUUAAAUUAUAAUUAGAUUGUGGAAAAUUACACUAUUAUUUUUCCUAAUAUAGUAGUGCUAUGUUUUUCAUGAAGUACUAAAAUGUCAAAACUGCCAACAUCUACACAUGAGUUCUAUUAGAGCCUAAACCAGGAUUUCAAAUUUAUGGUGGGAUUCUAAUUAUUUUAAGUUAUAGGAUUCUACUGUAGCUCGAUUACCAAUUGCUAUAUCUUAUAAUAUAAUUAUAUUUAUACAAUUCAAUUAAUUUAUAUUUUUUGUCAAUUUCAGCGAUGAAAGGACUAACAAUUUUGAAUCAGAUGAAGGAUACAUGUAUGUGCAGUUAGAUUUAUAUACAUCAAUUAAAUAUUUCAAAAACAAAUUUUCUCUAUCACAAAUAAUUACUACUUUCGUGUAUAUACAGUAUGAAAUUGACAAUGAUUUACUAGCUAUCCCAAGGAAUGUAUAUGUUGAUCGCAUUUCUGGACAGCUUCUACAAAACACUACUUUCAUUCCAUAAUAACUUCUUAAUAAGUUUUUGGCCGUAAAAACGUGGAGGCUACAAUUUCUUUUAAAAAAAAAGAGCGAAAAUGUUACGUAAAAUAAUUGCAAUCAUAGCCCACGUCUAAAUUAUGUGCUUUUGACAUACAGAAAAGGAAUGACUGUCAACAGAGACAGAUCCAGAAUUUCAGCAGGAUGGAUGCACCAUUAUCCGACCUCAUCGUUUGAUUUGGUUUUCUGAAACUUACUUGGAAAACUAUCAAUAAUAACAUCAUUAUUUAUAGUUACAAAUGUUAAAACUCAAUAUUUAAUUCAAGGAUAUAUCAAAGGGUGAACCAAAAAAGAGAAGAAUGCAUGAAAAAAAAUGAAAAAAAGAAAAGAAAGACAAGGCAUGGGAUUUGAACAAAACAGAAACGAACAAAAAAGAGAAAUAGAAAUAGAAAAAUGGUUUAGAGAUGGAAGAUAGGGGAGUGGAUUCGAGCACUAGACGUGGGGUCGAUAGUGCACAAAGCUACCACUGCACCUCUUUAUUAUGGGUUCCCACAUGGAAAAUUAAAUACUUUAUUCGGAAAAUGUCCCUGUGAUACACAGACUUAGGAGGGGAGUACUUUAUUGAAAUAUUUGAUGUAUUAUAAGAAUUUCUUAAUUGAAGGCGUUCGAACAUUACUUUUGAAAUUCAUUUGAUACUACUUGCAAUGAUAAUAAAUAUUGGCUGAAUAAACUCACCAUUCUUAAGUAUGAGCUUUAUUGUUUCUCUCCAAUUUUCGUGCAACUCAUUGUAAUAUUCUAAGAAUAUUAGUAAUAACUAGCACGGGAUAUACGUGCGUGUUCAAGAAUUAAUUAUAUUAAAAGCAUCAAUUGUAAAUUUAAAAGUUAAAAGUAAAUUAUUUUUUUACCCUUUUAAAGUCCCUACUUAUGUAAAUUAAUUAUUCUAAUAAUAUAUUAAUUAAUACUCCAUCCUGUCCAAAAUAAGUGAUUUUUUGAUAUUUUUACACAGAUUAAGAAAUCCAUCUUUUAACAUUAAUUAGUAAUGGAAUUGACCAUAUUAACAUUUACUAUCUCACAUAAACACUCCUAACACAUAUUCCAAUACUAUUUACUCCAAGGACAUUAUAGGGAAAAAAUAAUUAAUUCAUUCUUGAAAUCUAGAAAAAUUACUUAUUUUGAACUACAAAAAAAUAGCAAAAAAAUUACUUAUUUUGAACCGAAGGGAGUAGUAUUUAAAUAGAAAGGAAGAGGAAAUUGUUGUUGAAGCGUUGUGUAUCUUCAAAUGCUUCAGAUUAGUAAAAGAAAAUAUUGUCCCAACCGUUGCGUUUUCAUGCAUAUAUAGCAAACUUCAUAUCAUAAAAUCCACAAUCCUUCACUUCUCACAAAACUUUACCUUAUGAAAUUACCUAAUGAAAUGUUUCUCAUAGCAUUGUCUGUGGGUGAAAAAAUAUAAGUGGGAACUUAAAUUAUUAAAAUACCCAUUAAAAGCUGAAGUACAUUUUUACCCUUUAAUAAAAUACUGUUCGUAUAAUAUUUUUGUACAAAGAAGUAAAUAUUUAACAAAAUACAUGUAAAGGUACUUUGAUAAAUUACAAGUCUAAGUUCAAAUAAUCUGAAAUUAGGAGCAAGUGAAAAGACUACUAUUACAGUUAAUCUCAUCAUUAUGCAGUUACCAAGAGCCACAUGCAUGAUUCUUUCAUCUUUUUUAUAUGAAAAAUGAAGUGCUUACUCUUUUAAUUUGGCCUUCUGAUUCCUAUUUUCUUCAUAGGGAUGUUAAUUUCUACCAUUCCUCUUGAUAUAUAUCAAUUGUCAAACGAUAGUAAAUACUCAACACUCUCAUUGUCAACCAACUUUUUCCUCCAUCAACAAGCUGGGAUAGUUUUGUUCCUCGAAAAUAAAGGUAAUUGAUCAUCUUAGUUCUCAUGUUAAAUCUUCGUAUAGUUGGAUUGUCAUACUAGUUUAAAGUUUAGGUAAAACAUAUACCACGAAGAAGGAACUUUACAAUCCAGUCAUCAUUGUUCAUGUCAUCUUAUGAAAGUUAAAUUUGUUAUAUCUAAUUAAAUAUAUAAGCCCAAUAUAUAUUAAUAUAAGAUUUUGUCUCCGCGGUAAUUUACCUAUUUAAUUCAUAACUUGCAAACUUUUUUUUCCUUCGCUUAGUUCUGGCAAAAAAAUUAUUUUAAGUGACACAUACAUUAUAUUUAUAUGUGUAUUUAUUUAUUUAUUUUGUCUUUUUGUUUGCCAAAUAUGACAAGAGGGGUUGCUCUGAUGGUAAGCAACCCCCACUUCCAACCGAGAGGUUGUGAGUUCGAGUCUCCCCAAGAGCAAUUGGGAAAUUCUUGGAGGGAAGGAUGUCGGGGUCUAUUUGGAAACAGCCUCUACCCUCUCCAGACCCCACUAUGUGAGAUUAUACUGAGUUGUUGUUGUUGUUUGCCAAAUAUGUAUAUAGAACAAACACCUUCAAUUUUGUCAACUUUUUCAAGCCAAUAUAUACAUGGAGAUUAAUAUAGCAUGAGAGAUGAAAGAAAUUCAUCAACACGAUGAUCCAUGUACUUAGAAUAAACAAUGUAUAACACAUGUUGGAUCAUGGAUCAAUUUUAUUGGUUCUAGAAAGGUAAUUUUUUCGUUAAAAUAUCAUGGUAUAGCCAGUUUUUACACUGGUCAGUAAAAGAUAGUCACUGUUUACCAAUUCAAUAAAAAAUAGCCACUAUUUUACUGCACAGGGACCGGUCCAGUAUAAUAUAAGGGAGUUCUGGUGUGUUUGUGUACGAACUCCAGCAUAUUAUACUGGACCGGCAUACUUUGCUAACUCCUAUAAAAUUUGCGGGAGACUGGAGCACCAGUGCUCCAAACUCCAGUAAUUAUUUUGUUGUAACAAGGAUCGGUCCAAUAUAAUAUACGGGAGUUCUGAUGCAUUUGCGUAUGAACUCCAGCAUAUUAUGCUGGACCGGUAUACUUUGCUAACUCCUGUAAAAUUUACAGGAGACUGGAGCACCAGUGCUCCAAAUUCCAGUAUAUUAUACUGGACAAUUAUACUUGCUAGAACUCCAGUAAAAUUUGCGGGAGUUCCAGCAUAACUAUGCUUGAACUCCCGUAAAAUUUGCGGGAGCUCCAGUAUAGUUAUCCUGGAACUCCCGUAAAAUUUACGGAAGUUAAAGCAUAUUUAUGCUGGAACUCUCGUAAAAUUUACGGGCAUAUUAUUUCGGAUUUUGAACAGUGUUUUCGCUCAAAUUUAAAGUGAUUAAAUUUUGAUGACUUUUGGAACUUGGCUAUUUUUCAAUGACCAGUGAUAAAUCUGGCUAUUUUUAAAUUUCUCGCAAUUUUUUCCUUUGAUAUUUCUUUUAUAACUCCCAAAAUAUUUUAAUAGUAUUUAUUUAGUUUUUAAAAGUUUAUACACAUAAAUAUGGGUACACGCGUGCAACGCGCGUGCCCAGAAACUAGUAGUAGUACAAAUAGCAGCAAAGCAUAACGGAGUGGUGUGUUUUUAUUUAUUUCCUUGCAAAUGUUAAAAUUUCAAAGUUAAAUGUUCCCUAUUAAAUUCUUACAGUGUGCCAUUCUCAAAAUUGUUCAAAAUCGCACUAAAAAGGGAGGUUGCUGAAAGAGCAAGAGUGCAAUAUUUUCUUCUUUCUUUUUCAUUUUUUAAGGGGGCAGUACACUUAACAAGAAAAUUUCUUUCAACGAGGAAGAAAAAGCAAUUGUAAUAGCCACAGCAUUCCAAAAGGAUGUCAAAUUAAAACGGUAUUAUAAUUUACUAGGCCUGAUUACUUUAGCUUUGUUUGAUUGGUGUAAAGUUGUAGCUUUAUCUAGCAAUGAGUGAGCAAUUCACAAGUAUUAUUGGGCAACGAAAUCAUUCAAGUGCAAGAAACAGCCUCUUGUCCAAACGAGUAAAGUUAUUGCCAAGUGACCAGAAAGUUAUGGAUUCGAACCGUAAAAAUAGCCUCUUAUAAAAAUCUAAGAUAAGGUUAUGCACCGUAUCGCUCUGUCAUUUAUUGAUCGAACGGGCUUUUGGACUUCCGUCACUUGCUAUAAUUAAGUUGUAUUAGAGACGUACAUAGAUCUGAUUGGUUCGGUUUUUUCAAUUACUAAACAAAACCAAUGGUGUCAGGUUCUUAAAUCUAUAAAUCAAACAACACCAACAAAAUCGAAUAUUUCAAUUUUUUCUGGGUCUUCGGAUUUUUUUCCGGUAAAGUCUUCAUAGCACAAAAUAUGUAACUUGUGUUCCAAAUAUUUCUUUAGUCCAAGUAAGUUACAAAUAUAUAAUGUAUUUUCCUCGAAAAUAACACAAUAAUAUGAGAUAAGCCAUUACAUUACACUAAAAUAUUCAAUAACAAAGAUAAUGAAAUUAUAUAAAGCAAAUAUUGCUAAUUAAUAAGCCAUAUCGAAAAUUAACAUAAUCUAAAGACACUAUAUAGGUCAUGCUAAAAUAAGUAUAACUAAUAAGUACUAUUACUUACAUAACUAAAUACUAACGCAAAAGAUAAACUAAGUUAUGCAUUUUCAUUAAAGACCAGUGUCAAGUUAUGCAUUUUCAUUAAAGACCAGUGUCAAACUAAAAAAUAGAUAUCCAACACCAUCGCCAUUCCUAGUGGAAAACAAUCUGACUUAUAUUUGAUGCCACGGUUCUAUUGCUCUACUAAAUGUAUUUACUAGGUAUGGUGAUUUGAAAUAAUGUAGUGCGAACAACCAAGAGUUCUCAGCCCCACGCCAUGGAGCAUGCAUAAUUAACCACCAACUUCCCAUCAAAACCAAAGUUCUGCAAUGCAAGAGGAUAGAAAUAAUGUAUCAACAAUAAACUCUAAAUGCACGGUUGGGAGGCUAAUCAAGUUCAGAUAGCUGCUCAAUAAACAGUGAAUAACCAAUUUUACCAAUAUAGAGAUUUUGACACCAACAGGGAGAGAAAAAGAGGGGAGGAAAAAACUCAGAACGAAACAUAUAACAUCUUCUACGGAUCGCCCAUAAAAGCAUCAAGAGUCAUGUAUAACGUUGAGUUGCUAACAUAUGUUUUGACUCCCGGUAGCAAAAAGAACUCGAGGCAUACAGCAUCUAGUGCAUUUAAAAGAAUGAAAUAUUGGGCUCUUUGACUGCCUAGAAGUUGAGUGGUGGUUGAAGAUGUUUGGUCCAUACUUUAGUUCAUACAAAAUACUAAAAAGAUUCAUGUUGUCAUGUGCGUUUGAAUUUGUGAAGCUCACAAAAUGGUCUAUAAAAUAAUAAUUCUAAUAAUAAUAAUAAUAAUAAUAUAUUAUUAUUAUUAUUAUAAUAAUUAUAAUUAUUAUUAUUAUUAUUAUUAUUAUUAUUAUUAUUAUUAUUAUUAUUAUUGUGAAGCUCACAAAAUGGUCUAUUUCUAAUAAUAAUAAUAAUAAUAUAUUAUUAUUAUAAUUAUUAUUAUUAUUUCUGUAAGCUAUGAGAAGAAAAGGAUCACAUAAGUGUUCUGGAGGGAGAAGAAAACAAAAUUUUCAAAUGAAAGUAAAAUGACGAUCACCAAAGGAAAUUAAUCCUGAAAUCAGCCUAUAAACACCUGUACAAAACUAAAGCUUGGUGAUUAAAAAUGGAACUCCAUCCAUCUUCCAGUCUUAUAAAAAGAAAAGAAACACAUCCUACACUCCAUCCGUCUUCCAGUAUAGUGGUUAUCAUAUGAAGGUAAAAUGUGUAAUCAGCAAAGAACAUUCAUCUUGAAAUAAUUAUAUGAAAACUUAUAUGUACAGGAAACUUACAUUGUACAGGUCAAUUACCAACUCAUCUGGAUUUGGUGAAAAGGCACUGUUAACAUACACAAACUAGAGAGGAAAGAUUAUAUCAGUAAUCACAACUCUAAUGCACAGUAUCUCUACUUUAGAAUUUCAAAACUCUGAGAGCAAUUCUUUCCUCUGUACUUUAGAAUUUCAAUCAAAACAAAGGACGUACCAAUGUCUCCCUAUGAAGUUGGCGGCGCAGAAAAUCUAUUACUUUGAUGAAUUUGUCAGUACCUGCAAUCUAUGUUGAUGUUUAUAUAUAAUUUGAUGAUUAGAUGAAGCAACAACAACAAAAAAAACAACUACCCAGUAUAUUCCCACCAGGUAGGGUCUGGGAGGGUAAUAUGUAUGAUAAGGAAAAUAUGACUGAUAAUUAUUAACAAAGAAACCAUUUAAAUUUCCAUCUUCAAUUGGCUACAAUAACAUUAAUCAUAUAAGGGAAUUCUUCUAAAACUAAAGUAGGAGAGAUCUGAAGGCUGGCUCCAGCAAAAAAAAAAAGGAAAAUUGAGAAACUAUUAAAUUCUGUGUCUAGUCAAAUGGUGCCAAACAAAUUGGGACAGAUGGAGUUGUAUACUAUUACAUUAGGCAAAUAUGUCAAUAAAGAGAGCGCGGAAUUCGUGCUAUCAAACAAAAUUUCAACUGACACCACAUUGAAUAAUCUCAACCACCCUAUUAUUCCUCAGGCUCCCUGAAGAAAAAGACUUCUCCAGCAACAUACUCCUGCAGGAAUUAUCAGGUGCUUCUCCCGGUUAAGUGGUCCCUCUUUGUUCCUUGUGCUGGUUGCAAUGGGAAACAUCUGCUUUUAUUAAGUAGCAUUCUGUGUUUCAUCUAUUGAAACUAGCCAGAGACACCUUGUGGUCACACCCUUCACAAGCUAUUACUGGUGCUACUUUUACUAAGAGAAACCAACAGCUUCUUUAUGAAGGCUCCAUUUAUGCAGAAAAGCAGUAGCCCCACUUAUAAGCAGCUCCAUCAGGCUAGCACCAGCGGUACUACUGAGAGAAGACCAACCGCUGCAUUUAUGCUGAUGCUGGAAUAUACCUAAGGGUUGUCUUAUAACCUAACUUGUAAUUCAAGAUGUUUUACACUAGCUCCUUCACCAGCCGGUUCCAACCACGUCUAACUGCUGCAGAGAGUACACCUAUCCCUAAUAAGCAAUCUCCACAAUUACAACACUUAGCCUAAGAUAAAGGAUAGAAAGCCUAAGGAAUAAUCACUAUAGUGUAUGAACGAUUGAAGGGUGGAGGCAAAAAUUGUGUGACCCUCUAUGACACCUCCUUCUCUUUUUUCUUUCUUUUUUAUUUUUUUUGGGUGGGGAGGGGGCAGGGGCGAGGGCAUGGAGAUCAGUCCAAUGGGUGAGCUCCACAAAGCAUAGUCACUCCCAAGAUCCGAAAAAUCAGAAGAGUUGCAGUAGGUUAAUGGUUAGCAUAAAAGUCAAAAUGAAGAAUCCUAUCGGGCACACCCACAACGCAUUAUCUCCUGACUAAAGGAGAGUUGAUACUAAGGAUUUAUAAAGUUGAUCUAACUAAUUCGGAAUUUAGGACUUAUAAAGUUGAUCCAACUAAUUCGGACUUUAGUCAUAGUUAAUUAGUUGAUCGAUACAAAUUUUUAGCCGCAUUCUGGGUUUCUUUCCAUCUAUCAUCUGCGCUUUAAGAAUGGACAAAGUUCGAAUGUGCAUUUUCGUUCCCAAACAGCUCUAAUUUUCAAUUCAUUUUAACCGUUUGCAGAAAUUGCUCUAAAAGCCCAUUGUUCCCAAACAGCUCUAAUUUUCAGAUCAUUUUAACCAUUAGCAGAAAUUGCUCUAAAACCCCAUAGAGUAACUUGCAAGGAAACAAUUUCAUCAAACAUCCCUAUAAAAGGUGCACAGUCAUAGAUUAAUUUAUCUUCUCUCUUUCUUAGUUUUAUCAAACAAGGGGCUGGAUGUGGGUCUGUGAAGAUUCCAUAGGAACAAAAGAGGCGACUACUCAAACUAUAUACUCCAUCCAUCCUUAAAAAGACUGCCAAGACUUGAAGUACAAGUGUCUAACACAUCAAAAUUGAACCAUAAAUUCAGACAUCAAUUCCUUAACUUUAUAAGUCUAAAGUACUACAUGUCUACAACAUUUUUUACUCCCUCUGCCCCAACUCAUGUAAUACAUUUUUUAGUUUAUUCCAUAAAGAAUGACAUCUUUCCAUAACAAUUAAAAUUUAAACUUUUAAACUUUUAAUAGCCACAUAAUUGUCUUAAGAUUUGUUUCAAUUCACAAGUCUCAAAAGUCAGUCUUUCUUUCUUUCUUAAAUUAUGUGCACAAUCAAACAACAUCACAUCAAAUGGGAUGGAUAGAGUAGUGAAAAAUAUACUACUCCCUCCGUUUCGAUUUAUGUGAACUCAUUUGACUGGGCACGGAGUUUAAGAAAAUAUAGAAGACUUUUGAAUUUGUGGUGUAAAAUGAAGCACAUAUACUUUGUGUGGCUAUAAAUCAUUGCAUAAAGGUAAAUUGAUUCCAAAUAGGGAAAGAGGUCAUUCUUUUUGGCACGGACUAAAACGGAAAUAGGUUCACAUGAAUUGAAACGGAGGGAGUAUAAGAAUCUUAAAAACGCAUAGUCAAAGGAAACUGUAAUUUGGACAAAGAGCACAACGGUAAAGCGGAAAUAUAUCUAGGGUUUUGGAUCAUAACUCAGUCUAGAACUUUAAUACGAGCAAUUUAUCUGAUAAAAGAAGAAAGAAAAUACAUAAAAUAGAUGGAAAAUCUAAACCUUAAAUUUGGCUUGUUUAAGAAUUGGGGCAUCACCGGUCGCUCUUAAAUGAACAAUCACUACAUAAACAUCAAAAUCAACACAAAAAAUAAGUAACAAGUGGCAUUAAUCUAUUUAAGAACAAAAUAAUUGGGAAAAAAGGAUGUUUGACCAAAUUGAAGCAUGUGAUCAGACCUUUACGAGAAUAGGAAGCCAUAGCUCCUUUGAUUAGAUGAGAAUUUACACGAUUCUCUUGCUUCACUGCUGAAGUUAUUCAAAAGCGAUUCGGUACCGGUUCAAAAUCGGGCAGCCCGUUUUUCUGUAAUUCACUUGAUAAAAGGACAAAAAUGAUCCACACUGUUUGACGUUAUGUAAACUGCAAAGUAGUUCUAUAAUAUAUUUCGAAGUGUUAUGAAAAUAAUAAAAGAACAACAACAAUAUUGCAUAGAAACACAAAAAAAAAUUAUUGAAUUUUGGGAACAUUCUAUUUAUAGGGAGAGUGACUUAGCAGUAAAGUAAUAAAUCUUAAAAUCUCUCUAAAUAUAGGCAUUCACCAUAAAUAAAAUUCUAUUUAUAACAGUCCCUCUUCAAUACAUAUUCAACAGAUAAUGUUCCUCGUUAAAACCUUAACUAAAUAAAACCCAAUGAGAAAAAAUUCUAGAAAAGGAAAAAAAGUACACAUAUCUAACAAUACGUCUUUUGGUUGCCUCGUUAAAAACCUUGCAAGGAAAACCCAGUGGUACAAAACCUUGUAAGGGGGAAAAGAGUUCAACGCGCAUUAACUCCCCCUGAUGAGAGCAUCAAUUCAUAUCCUUGAGCCUUCACAUUCCAAUCUUGUGCACAAUCUUCAAGAGAUCGUUGGUAGAGAUUUGAUAAGUAAAUCAGUCAUAUUAGCUUGAAUGAAUAUGUUGCACCAUGAAAUCUUCAUAAAAUGCCAUUGAAUGGCCUUUUUCAAUAUUUCCAUAGAGAUUCUCGCUAUCAUAUUAUCAUGCUUAUAGUUAUAGCAAGAUACAUAUGUGCACAAAUUGCACUUAGGAUGUGGUACUUCAAGACCAAGAAUUGUAUAUGCUUUAAGCGAUUUAAAUCCUUCAAGGAUUAUCGUAUAAGUUAAGCCAUAUAAGCCAUAUAAUAGACUUUAGAUGCAUAUCAAGUUUUCAUGUCAUGNNNNNNNNNNNNNNNNNNNNNNNNNNNNNNNNNNNNNNNNNNNNNNNNNNNNNNNNNNNNNNNNNNNNNNNNNNNNNNNNNNNNNNNNNNNNNNNNNNNNNNNNNAUAUCAUUGAUUUUAUACUUUCAAGUAUUUGAACUACAUGUCCAAAACUACAUGUCUUUCAUAUGGAAUCAAUUCUACUUGAAUUGUGUCUCUUUUAUUUGGCCAAUAUUUUUGUGUCUAUAUUCGAUAUACUUAAUAUCCUCAUCUAUUUUUAGCGCUAUGACAGAUGUCGUCGACAAAUAUUUUAUAUUGGUUCCAAUAUUUUUUUCAUAGAGACGAAACAUAGAGAUCUCUUCAUUCAUAUUUUCAGGUACCAGAAUCUCUCAUGAGAUUUCAUGAAGUGUUAUGUCAUGUGAUCUUCAAGACCAUUUGCCUCCUUAUUAUGAUCAAUUUGAUCAUUUGCUCAUCUUCUUUAUCAAGGAUUUCUAUUUGAAACCGAUUUGUCUAUGAGCAUUAAGCAUACCAUAGACUUUGUCCUUCUGGGACUUAAUAUGAGCAUUUGCAAUGAGAAUAUAGUUACUUUCUUUGGGUCAGCAAAUGCGUCUAGCAUACUUCGCAAUAUAUUGCAGAUGAAUUAUCUUUUUAUGAACUUCAAGUUCAUAUUAUCGUAUUCGAAGAUCUAGAUAUGCACACGAUAAUUUAUUCCAUGUAACUUUUUCUCAAUUGUUUGUUGUGUCUCCCCCUUAUGUUAGAAAAACUAACUUGCUAACUUUUUUCUCAAUUGUUUAAAAUAUCUCCCCUUCAUGUUAGAAAAAGCUAACUUGUUUCCUCAACUUUGAGAAUCCAUCUUGGUGCAUUAUGGUGUUAAUGAAAAUAUACACCGCACAUCAAUAAUAAUAAGAUGGCAUUAUUUGGUUCCUGACCUCGAACCACUUGUAAGAGGAGAAAAUAAUAUACUUUCGUAACGUUUAUCAAACUGAUAUACAAAACUUUGUUCUCAUAAGCAAUUAUUUAGUUAUUAAGUGGAGGCACUCAACAAAUUAUUUUGCUAAACCAACUGUGAUGUAAACUAACUUAUCAAGAUGAACUUCUUGAAUAGAAAAUCUGAAAAUUAUGCUUGAAAUCAAAAUAAUUGAGCAAGUUACCUCGCAAAAUACCAUGUUGCAGGUUAAUAAUACUUGCACAUGUAACCAUCUCAUAGAUGCAUCUUAUGUGGUAUACAUGACAGGUGAAUGAGCCCAUAUUCACCUUUGAUGCACAUAUAACCAUCUCAUAGAUACACCUUAUGUGGUAUACAUGGCAGGUGAAGGGACUCAUAUUCACCUUUGAUAUUUCCAGCAUUCAUGGGACUCAAUCCCAAUUUUAGUUGGUCUAUUAAUUAAUAAGAACAAGCAAUGUAAGAGAAUUCAUAAANNNNNNNNNNNNNNNNNNNNNNNNNNNNNNNNNNNNNNNNNNNNNNNNNNNNNNNNNNNNNNNNNNNNNNNNNNNNNNNNNNNNNNNNNNNNNNNNNNNNNNNNNNNNNNNNNNNNNNNNNNNNNNNNNNNNNNNNNNUCGUAAAGAACUUUCUAGUUCUUUAAUAUUUAUCCAUGUGAGUUCUCUAUUAUUUUUGCAUAUCAUACUUAAAUUGAUAUGGCUAACCCAGAUGCCAACUGAAUAAAUUAUCAAUAUUGAUAAAGUUCACAUUUACAUCAUGACAUGUGCAAUUAUCAAUAAACUCCAAGUUUAUUAUGAUAUGGACUUUUAUAUCAAUAAACAUCCACUUUAUUGUGGUAUUCGUUUAUUUGUGUAGUACAAUCGUUCCGGUCUUUGUGGCACCUCCCCCAGCCACAUUACAUAGAUCGUCCAGUGAGCCUCUAUUCCAAGCUCACCACACCCAAUAUUACCCUCCCGAACCCACUUUUAAAGCGCCUGAGCCAUAUACCUAUACACCCCAUUUUGAGAUCCCGAGAGAAGUUGAGAAACCAGUUAAGAAUGCGGAACAGGAGGAAGUGAUUCGUAAAGUCAAAAGCCUGGAGCAAUACUUCAGGAACAUGCAUGGCUUAGGCAGCCAAGUUAGUGUUGCUUACAAAGAUUUGUGCCCUUUACCUGAUGUUCAGUUGCCCGCAUGGUUCAAAAUGCUCAAGUUUGAUUUGUACGAGGGACAUGGCGACCCGGUGGCCCACCUCCAAGGUUUUUGCAGUAAUAUUAGAGGAGCUGGGGAAGGAUGAAAUGCUGAUAGCCUAUUUCAGUAAAAGUUUGAGCGGGUCCGCAUUGGAAUGGUACACAAGACAGGACCCCGGCCGAUGGUAUACAUGGGAUGAUUUGGCACAAGCAUUCAUUGGCUAUUUUCUGUAUAACCUUGAGAUAGUCCCCGAUCGUCUGUCAUUGUUGAAGCUGGAGUAGAAGCCCACAGAGAGUUUUAGAGAAUUUGGUUUCCGCUGGAGGGAACAAGUAGCAAAAGUUGAUCCUCCAAUGAGGGAGAGUGAGAUGGUAGACUAUUUCUUGCAGACAUUGGAGCUAACCUACUUUGGUCAUCUAGUGACGUCCGCUAGAAAUCAUUCAAUGAAGUGGUAAAAAUGGGAGCCGUGAUUGAAGAGGGAUUGAAGUCUAACAAAAUCUUGAGCUAUUCGGCAUUGAAAGCAACCACCUAGGCCAUCCAAAGCGGUACUGGUGGCGUGCUCGGAAAGAAGAAGAAGGAAGUUGCCACAGUUGAAGCUAAUACUUGGUCCAGUUCCAACAACCCUCAACCCUACUACAAUCAACCUAGACCCCACCACCCAAAUUACUAGUAUACCCCAUAUGGCCCACAACAACAGUACUACCCAUCCAGAACCACACUUUUCUGUCCACCACACCCAGACAUACACUUAGCCUCUGACGCACCGGCAAUGGCGUGCACCGGCUCCCCAAAACACAUAUCCACUUCCACAAAACACCUAUCCACUUCCCAGGGCUAAUAGACCAGGAACCGGCUUUGGCCCAAACCAAGAUUUUAUAAGUGAGAAGGUCCCCAACAGAAAAAUAUUUACCCCGUUGGGAGAAUCCUAUACCACCUUUUUUCACACACUGAGGCAACUAGGCCUGUUAAACCUGAUUGAGCCCAAAUUAACAAACCCCCUCCUAUAAAUCUGGACCAUUCUAUCAGCUGUGAGUAUUGUUCAGGGAUACCGGGGCACGAUACUGAGAAGUGCUGAAAAUUGAAGAACUCGGAGCAGGAACUUAUUGAUAAUCGCCAUAUUGAAGUACAGGCUCCGGAGGCGCCAAACAUUAAUCAAAACCCGUUGCCAGCACAUCACGAGACUAACAUGAUUGAAAUGAUACAUAAGAGUGCAGAGACUAAGAAGCCCUCGCAGAUAGUCAUGAUGAUCCGUUCUACUGAAGCCCAGGAGAAAGAAAAGGCAGUUAGGGAAAAGCCAGCAAUUCAGCCAAAAGAGAUAGAUGACAAGCCAGUGGUGGUAAGAGGGAAAGGGCCAUUUGUUGCUACAAAGAAGCCAGAGCUAGCCAAGUUAGUGGUACCAGGGUCAUCAUCUACGCCCGUGGUUGUUGUGAAGUGGGCUUACGUAGAACCGGUUAUCAUAAAGCCGGUUGUCCAAUUGCCCAUGGUUGAUAGCAAAGCCGGCCAUGGAAAUAUGAAAAGGUAGUGGUGACAUACAAAGGAAAGGAAAUUGAGGAAGAGAGUUGUGAAGCACAGGGGUUAACUCGAUCAGGACGUUGUUUUGCUCCCGAAGAGUUGAGAAAGGCUAGGGGCACUAAAGACACUCCAGUACUAGUCAAGAAGGCUGUGACAGAAGAAGCGGCAUAGGAAUUUCUGAAAAAGAUGAAAGUGAAGGAUUAUUCCAUUGUUGAACAACUGAGAAAAACACCGGCUCAGAUCUCGUUGUUAUCAUUAUUGAUCCACUAGGACGAUCAUCGCCGGGCUUUAAUGAAGAUAUUGAAUGAAGCUCAUGUGCCCGAUAAAAUUUUAGUCAACCAUCCGGAGACAAUUGCCAGUGGAAGGCACAGAACACAAUAAACCUCUCUACUUGACGGUCAAGUGUGAAGAUUCAAUGGUUACUUACGUGUUUAUUGAUAACGGGUCUAAUGCAAAUAUUUGUCCAUUGUCUACACUGAACAAGUUGAAGAUUGAUGAUGAUAGAAUCCAUAAAAAAUAGUGUUUGUGUUCAAGGGUUCGACGGAGGGGAACAAUCACAAGGAAACAAUUUCAUCAAACAUCCCUAUAAAAGGUGCACAAUCAUAGAUUAAUUUAUCUUCUCUCUUUCUUACUUUUAUCAAACAAGGGGCUGGAUGUGGGUCUGUGAAGAUUCCAUAGGAACAAAAGAGGCAACUACUCAAACUAUAUACUCCAUCCAUCCUUAAAAAGACUGCCAAGACUUGAAGUACAAGUGUCUAACACAUCAAAAUUGAAGCAUAAAUUCAGACAUCAAUUCCUUAACUUUUUAAGUCUAAAGUACUACUGUGCCUAACACAUCAAAAUUGAAGCAUAAAUUCAGACAUCAAUUCAUUAACUUUUUAAGUCUAAAGUACUACAUGUAUACAACAUUUUUUACUCCCUCUGCCCCAACUCAUGUAAUACAUUUUUAGUUUAUUCCAUAAAGAAUGACAUCUUUCCAUAACAAUUAAAAUUAAAACUUUAAACUUUUAAUAGCCACACAAUUGUCUUAAGAUUUGUUUCAAUUCACAAGUCUCAAAAGUCAAUCUUUCUUUCUUAAAUUAUAUGCACAAUCAAACAACAUCACAUCAAAUGGGAUGGAUAGAGUAGUGAAAAAUAUACUACUCCCUCCGUUUCGAUUUAUGUGAACUCAUUUGACUGGGCACGGAGUUUAAGAAAAUAUAGAAGACUUUUGAAUUUGUGGUGUAAAAUGAAGCACAUAUACUUUGUGUGGCUAUAAAUCAUUGCAUAAAGGUAAAUUGAUUCCAAAUAGGGAAAGAGGUCAUUCUUUUUAGCACGAACUAAAAAGGAAAUAGGUUCACAUGAAUUGAAACGGAGGGAGUAUAAGAAUCUUAAAAACGCAUAGUCAAAGGAAACUGUAAUUGGGACAAAGAGCACAACGGUAAAGCGGAAAUAUAUCUAGGGUUUUGGAUCAUAACUCAGCCUAGAACUUUAAUACGAGCAAUUUAUCUGAUAAAAGAAGAAAGAAAAUACAUAAAAUAGAUGGAAAAACUAAACCUUAAAUUUGGCUUGUUUAAGAAUUGGGGCAUAGAAAGAUGUCAUUCUUUAUGGAAUAAACUAAAAAUGUAUUACAUGAGUUGGGGCAGAGGGAGUAAAAAAUGUUGUAGACAUGUAGUACUUUAGACUUAAAAAGUUAAGGAAUUGAUGUCUGAAUUUAUGCUUCAAUUUUGAUGUGUUAGACACUUGUACUUCAAGUCUUGGCAGUCUUUUUAAGGAUGGAUGGAGUAUAUAGUUUGAGUAGUUGCCUCUUUUGUUCCUAUGGAAUCUUCACAGACCCACAUCCAGCCCCUUGUUUGAUAAAAGUAAGAAAGAGAGAAGAUAAAUUAAUCUAUGAUUGUGCACUUCCUCUUUUGUUCCUAUGGAAUCUUCAGACCCACAUCCAGCCCCUUGUUUGUUAAAACUAAUAAAGAGAGAAGAUAAAUUAAUCUAUGACUGUGGCAUUAACAGGGCAGACGAAAUUUGUACAGAAGAGGGACAAUAGACCAAAUAUGAGCAUACACAAUCAGCGACACCAUUUGGCUUCAACCCCAAUUUAAACAAAAAUCUGACAAGAAUGAGUCGUCAAGCGGCGUACCAGAUUCAAAUUCUUGUAGUCAACAAAAAAUUAUACUGCCCGUGUCAUUUAAUGUGAAGAAUCAAGACAAACUAACACGGGCUAACUCAGAAGCCGAUUCAAGUAAACAAUAGUUCAUCUUGUUAAGGCACCCAACAGACCUCACAUCUAUUAAACUUUUAGGCUAAUAGUUUCAUUUCUAAACCCUUAACAGAACAUACUAAGAUCAAGUCAAUAGAGACAUAAACCAAAGAUUCCGAUUCAGAGAACAACCUAGCAGGACUCACGUUAGACAAAAACCCUUCAACAUAUGCACUGGCUCGACUAAUGAAUCGUGACAAAAAUAGUAACCGUGACAAAACUGAAAUAAGAUUUGAAAUACAGUCAACUAAAACAUGUACAAAGCCUCAAUUUAACGAUCAACACACAGAAGACUUCCAGCAACUCUACUGUUAGGAUAUUCGAUUCAAUUGAUUUAAGGUCAGCCUUAGCACAAGUUGUGUGCUGGAUCCUCAAUCAGAACACCACAGCUAGCACUGAAAGCUACUCUAGGCCGACCACACAUUUCCAGUAACAUCUAUAGAACUACUAAUUAACUCCCAGAACUUAUGGCUCAAGCAAAUCAUCACGAACAUCAGAGCAUAUUGCAAAGAGAAUCAUCAAAAGAGACUGAACACAUCAUUCAACUGAACGCGGUGAAAUCUUAACUCGGAAUAUACUUCGAGCCCGACUAACAGUCACAAUCAUACAGGGAAUGGAAGACACCUGUUCAAAUCGGCUUUUAUUAAUUAUAUAGACUCAGACACAUACCACUACUGAUAAGAGAUUCAUUCAACAAGAGAUUCAAUCAGAGCACAAACAGAGCACUUGAGACAGAACAACAUAGUUCAAUACUUUGAAACGAAACAGAACCGGAAGAGCAGAGAGAUGAAGAAUGUACCUGAAAUUUAAAACUUCUGUUGAUAACAGAAUCGAAGGUGAUUACACAGUUUCAACUCCACCACAAGAACUCAACGGCAAAUCAAAACUCGAAUAACAGCAAACCAGUAGCAGUCUAGUAGAAAUAAGAGGUUCGAACAGCGACCAACUCGAACUUCUUUUGAUAAUAGAAUCGAAGGUGAUUACACAGUUUCGACUCCAAAAUUCCCACAAGAACUCAAUGGCAAAUCAAAACUCGAAGUACAGCAAACCAGUAGCAGUCAAAUAGAAAUAAGAGGUUCGAACAGCGACCAACUCAGCAAAUUCUCAAACGAGCUCCACUUUAAAAGAACUCCACCCCAGAAAGAAGAUACGAAAUAUUUUUUUUUUAUUUUUCUGAAAUGUAAUUGAAAACGAAAACAGACUCAAAGAACAAUGAACAUUUUUUUAUAUCUGUUUUCCUUACUCUGGAACUAAACUAAACUUAGAAAACUAAAAUGAAGAAGGAUGUUACUUUGAACCUUAGCCUUUCUGCCAAAAUCUCUCUCCAAAAUAAUCCUCCCCUCUCAAAAUCGGAUCCAGCCCUUUAUGAAAUGAACCCCUGACGAAUGUGGGGCUCGGAUUGAAUGAAAUGUAUCCAAUACCUCACAUUCAUCCAAUGAAUCGUCUCUAGGACCUCCCAAUCGCGAGGUAAAUCUCAAAAACAAGCAAAUUAGAGGAGAGGGAAUCUUUGGUGUCAGAAACCGUUAUCUGCGAUAAGAGGAGAGAUAGAGGAACGCGUGGGUUAGGGACUGAUAUCCACUCGCGUGAAUUUUGAGCUGAAAUGGGGGCUUGGUUCGUGGAGAAGAAGAACAGUACACAGAAUCGCGUUUGAGAGAUUUAGGGUUUUCGUGAUUUUUUGGGUCUCUGAAGACUGCUGUGUAUUUUGGGUAUGUGGAGCUGAACCGGGUUUGGGCUGGUAA